GUGAAUAAUUCGGACUGACGCAUGCUCAGCUUCUGGACGUUGUGUUGGAAAGUUUCAUGAACCUUAUCACUUAGAGGAAGGAGAAGUCGUAACAAGGUUUCCGUAGGUGAACCUGCGGAAGGAUCAUUC
RNAcentral lists this ribosomal RNA (129 nucleotides) under Symbiodinium sp. clade B. Its description in RNAcentral is "partial 18S ribosomal RNA". It matches the Rfam family "Eukaryotic small subunit ribosomal RNA", at positions 1701 to 1831 of the family's 1831-position model. Lineage: Eukaryota; Dinophyceae; Suessiales; Symbiodiniaceae. The record is from RNAcentral.